This is a non-coding RNA of Anopheles culicifacies, 141 nucleotides long. The record is from Rfam. NCBI's taxonomy places the organism in Eukaryota, Metazoa, Arthropoda, Insecta, Diptera, Culicidae.
AGAUUAGAUAGAUCGAGGAGGGGUUUAGUGGGUAAGGCAUCGAUUAUUUCACUUUAAUCUAAUGAUUAUAAUCGGUGAAUCCCACACUACACGCGGGUGGUUGGUUGGAUGUCGGGUGUCUUUUGAAGAUUCCCCUCCUCG